UGCGGACUGGUGCAAUUGGCAGCACAUCCGGCCCUGAACCGGAAGGUUGGAAGUUCGAGUCUUCCGUCCGCAG
Molecule: transfer RNA, 73 nt
Filed under: Actinoplanes regularis
Lineage: Bacteria; Bacillati; Actinomycetota; Actinomycetes; Micromonosporales; Micromonosporaceae
Description: tRNA_Gln_CTG
Rfam family: tRNA
About the family: Transfer RNA (tRNA) molecules are approximately 80 nucleotides in length. Their secondary structure includes four short double-helical elements and three loops (D, anti-codon, and T loops).
Source: RNAcentral